Molecule: ribosomal RNA, 508 nt
Filed under: uncultured bacterium
Lineage: Bacteria
Description: bacterial SSU rRNA
Rfam family: Bacterial small subunit ribosomal RNA
Source: RNAcentral
GACGAACGCUGGCGGCGUGGAUUAGGCAUGCAAGUCGAACGGUAUCAUCCUUUCGGGGGUGAGAGAGUGGCGAACUGGUGAGUAACACGUAGGUUAUCUACCCUCAAGACGGGGACAACCCAGGGAAACUUGGGCUAAUACCGGAUGUGAGCAACUUUUAGUUGUUUGAAAGGUGGCGUAAGCUGUCGCUUGGGGAUGAGCCUGCGUCCUAUUAGUUAGUUGGUGAGGUAACGGCUCACCUAGGCAAUGAUAGGUAGGCGGCCUUAACGGGUGGUCCGCCCACACUGGGAUUGAGAUACGGCCCAGACUCCUACGGGAGGCAGCAGUCGAGAAUAGUCUACAAUGGUCGGAAGACUGAUAGUGCGACGCCGCGUGAACGAUGAAUCCCUUCGGGGUUAAAGUUCCUUUAUAUGUGAGCAGUGCUUCUUAUAUUUAACAGUAUGGGGAGAGAGAUAUUAGCAUAUGAAUAAGCAACGGCUAACUCCGUGCCAGCCGCGGUAAUAUCACG